RNAcentral lists this ribosomal RNA (254 nucleotides) under uncultured bacterium. RNAcentral's name for it is "partial 16S ribosomal RNA". It matches the Rfam family "Bacterial small subunit ribosomal RNA", at positions 524 to 776 of the family's 1533-position model. The record is from RNAcentral.
UACGUAGGGGGCGAGCGUUGUCCGGAUUUAUUGGGCGUAAAGAGCUCGUAGGCGGUUUGGCAAGUCGGAUGUGAAAUCUCCAGGCUCAACCUGGAGGGGUCAUUCGAAACUGCUAUGACUAGAGUUCGGUAGAGGAGUGUGGAAUUCCUGGUGGAGCGGUGAAAUGCGCAGAGAUCAGGAGGAACACCAGUGGCGAAGGCGCCGCUCUGGGCCGUGACUGACGCUGAGGAGCGAAAGCGUGGGUAGCAAACAGG